Long non-coding RNA from Maniola jurtina (meadow brown), 176 nucleotides. RefSeq lists it as uncharacterized. The record is from RefSeq and is a predicted model, not a curated record. The transcript is spliced from 2 exons. Lineage: Eukaryota; Metazoa; Arthropoda; Insecta; Lepidoptera; Nymphalidae.
AGCCUCGAUAGCUCAAUGGUUGAGGAGCGGACUGAAUUCCGAAAGGUCGGCGGUUCAAACCCCACCCGUUGCACUAUUGUCGUACCCACUCCUAGCACAAGCUUCACGCUUAGUUGGAGGGGAAUGGGGAGUGUUAAUCAUGACUCAUGAUUAAAAAAUGGCAAAUAUUCGUCUUU